This 133-nucleotide ribosomal RNA is filed under the name uncultured bacterium. RNAcentral's name for it is "partial 16S ribosomal RNA". It matches the Rfam family "Bacterial small subunit ribosomal RNA", at positions 356 to 486 of the family's 1533-position model. The record is from RNAcentral.
AGGGAAUAUUGGUCAAUGGACGCAAGUCUGAACCAGCCAUGCCGCGUGCAGGAUGAAUGCCCUAUGGGUUGUAAACUGCUUUUAUAUAGGAAGAAACCUUCAUACGUGUAUGAAGCUGACGGUACUAUACGAA